GGGUUGUGAGGUUAAGCGACUAAGCGUACACGGUGGAUGCCCUGGCAGUCAGAGGCGAUGAAGGACGUGCUAAUCUGCGAUAAGCGUCGGUAAGGUGAUAUGAACCGUUAUAACCGGCGAUUUCCGAAUGGGGAAACCCAGUGUGAUUCGUCACACUAUCAUUAACUGAAUCCAUAGGUUAAUGAGGCGAACCGGGGGAACUGAAACAUCUAAGUACCCCGAGGAAAAGAAAUCAACCGAGAUUCCCCCAGUAGCGGCGAGCGAACGGGGAGCAGCCCAGAGCCUGAAUCAGUGUGUGUGUUAGUGGAAGCGUCUGGAAAGGCGUGCGAUACAGGGUGACAGCCCCGUACACAAAAAUGCACAUACUGUGAGCUCGAUGAGUAGGGCGGGACACGUGGUAUCCUGUCUGAAUAUGGGGGGACCAUCCUCCAAGGCUAAAUACUCCUGACUGACCGAUAGUGAACCAGUACCGUGAGGGAAAGGCGAAAAGAACCCCGGCGAGGGGAGUGAAAAAGAACCUGAAACCGUGUACGUACAAGCAGUGGGAGCACGCUUAGGCGUGUGACUGCGUACCUUUUGUAUAAUGGGUCAGCGACUUAUAUUCUGUAGCAAGGUUAACCGAAUAGGGGAGCCGAAGGGAAACCGAGUCUUAACUGGGCGUUAAGUUGCAGGGUAUAGACCCGAAACCCGGUGAUCUAGCCAUGGGCAGGUUGAAGGUUGGGUAACACUAACUGGAGGACCGAACCGACUAAUGUUGAAAAAUUAGCGGAUGACUUGUGGCUGGGGGUGAAAGGCCAAUCAAACCGGGAGAUAGCUGGUUCUCCCCGAAAGCUAUUUAGGUAGCGCCUCGUGAAUUCAUCUCCGGGGGUAGAGCACUGUUUCGGCAAGGGGGUCAUCCCGACUUACCAACCCGAUGCAAACUGCGAAUACCGGAGAAUGUUAUUACGGGAGACACACGGCGGGUGCUAACGUCCGUCGUGAAGAGGGAAACAACCCAGACCGCCAGCUAAGGUCCCAAAGUCAUGGUUAAGUGGGAAACGAUGUGGGAAGGCCCAGACAGCCAGGAUGUUGGCUUAGAAGCAGCCAUCAUUUAAAGAAAGCGUAAUAGCUCACUGGUCGAGUCGGCCUGCGCGGAAGAUGUAACGGGGCUAAACCAUGCACCGAAGCUGCGGCAGCGACGCUUAUGCGUUGUUGGGUAGGGGAGCGUUCUGUAAGCCUGUGAAGGUGUGCUGUGAGGUAUGCUGGAGGUAUCAGAAGUGCGAAUGCUGACAUAAGUAACGAUAAAGCGGGUGAAAAGCCCGCUCGCCGGAAGACCAAGGGUUCCUGUCCAACGUUAAUCGGGGCAGGGUGAGUCGACCCCUAAGGCGAGGCCGAAAGGCGUAGUCGAUGGGAAACAGGUUAAUAUUCCUGUACUUGGUGUUACUGCGAAGGGGGGACGGAGAAGGCUAUGUUGGCCGGGCGACGGUUGUCCCGGUUUAAGCGUGUAGGCUGGUUUUCCAGGCAAAUCCGGAAAAUCAAGGCCGAGGCGUGAUGACGAGGCACUACGGUGCUGAAGCAACAAAUGCCCUGCUUCCAGGAAAAGCCUCUAAGCAUCAGGUAACAUCAAAUCGUACCCCAAACCGACACAGGUGGUCAGGUAGAGAAUACCAAGGCGCUUGAGAGAACUCGGGUGAAGGAACUAGGCAAAAUGGUGCCGUAACUUCGGGAGAAGGCACGCUGAUACGUAGGUGAAGCGACUUGCUCGUGGAGCUGAAAUCAGUCGAAGAUACCAGCUGGCUGCAACUGUUUAUUAAAAACACAGCACUGUGCAAACACGAAAGUGGACGUAUACGGUGUGACGCCUGCCCGGUGCCGGAAGGUUAAUUGAUGGGGUUAGCGCAAGCGAAGCUCUUGAUCGAAGCCCCGGUAAACGGCGGCCGUAACUAUAACGGUCCUAAGGUAGCGAAAUUCCUUGUCGGGUAAGUUCCGACCUGCACGAAUGGCGUAAUGAUGGCCAGGCUGUCUCCACCCGAGACUCAGUGAAAUUGAACUCGCUGUGAAGAUGCAGUGUACCCGCGGCAAGACGGAAAGACCCCGUGAACCUUUACUAUAGCUUGACACUGAACAUUGAGCCUUGAUGUGUAGGAUAGGUGGGAGGCUUUGAAGUGUGGACGCCAGUCUGCAUGGAGCCGACCUUGAAAUACCACCCUUUAAUGUUUGAUGUUCUAACGUGGACCCGUGAUCCGGGUUGCGGACAGUGUCUGGUGGGUAGUUUGACUGGGGCGGUCUCCUCCUAAAGAGUAACGGAGGAGCACGAAGGUUGGCUAAUCCUGGUCGGACAUCAGGAGGUUAGUGCAAUGGCAUAAGCCAGCUUGACUGCGAGCGUGACGGCGCGAGCAGGUGCGAAAGCAGGUCAUAGUGAUCCGGUGGUUCUGAAUGGAAGGGCCAUCGCUCAACGGAUAAAAGGUACUCCGGGGAUAACAGGCUGAUACCGCCCAAGAGUUCAUAUCGACGGCGGUGUUUGGCACCUCGAUGUCGGCUCAUCACAUCCUGGGGCUGAAGUAGGUCCCAAGGGUAUGGCUGUUCGCCAUUUAAAGUGGUACGCGAGCUGGGUUUAGAACGUCGUGAGACAGUUCGGUCCCUAUCUGCCGUGGGCGCUGGAGAACUGAGGGGGGCUGCUCCUAGUACGAGAGGACCGGAGUGGACGCAUCACUGGUGUUCGGGUUGUCAUGCCAAUGGCACUGCCCGGUAGCUAAAUGCGGAAGAGAUAAGUGCUGAAAGCAUCUAAGCACGAAACUUGCCCCGAGAUGAGUUCUCCCUGACCCUUUAAGGGUCCUGAAGGAACGUUGAAGACGACGACGUUGAUAGGCCGGGUGUGUAAGCGCAGCGAUGCGUUGAGCUAACCGGUACUAAUGAACCGUGAGGCUUAACCUUACAACGCCGAAG
This 2925-nucleotide ribosomal RNA is filed under the name Escherichia coli. RNAcentral describes it as "23S ribosomal RNA". It matches the Rfam family "Bacterial large subunit ribosomal RNA". The record is from RNAcentral. Lineage: Bacteria; Pseudomonadati; Pseudomonadota; Gammaproteobacteria; Enterobacterales; Enterobacteriaceae. RNAcentral also lists the same sequence under 7 other names.